AAACUUCUAUUAUAAGAUGGUCUAUUAUUCUUCCGCUGUGUUGGAUUAAGGUCUUCUGGAUCUCUCUGGUGACCAAUGGUGCUCAAGCAAUUGGUUUGAGAGAGAAGAACUGGAUUGCUUGUGAUCUUGGGUUGCCAUGCUUUCCAAGGGAAUUCCCUGAUUGCAAUGCACACUCUUGUUUUAUGGUCUUGGAGGAAGCUGCUUAUGAUAAAAAAUCUGAGCUCCGUUCUCCUCACACAAAGACUUGGAAAGUUCCUGUUUCAUCUCCAUGGGAUAGUGUCCGCCUUGCUCUAGAAGGACUCAGUGGGGCAGGUCAUGAUCGGAUGCAACAUGAACAGCUUUCUCCAAACGAUAUGAUAAAGAACUUAGAAAUGAGUACUCCAUACUCGAGAAGAUGCAUAACUGACUCAGAGGGUAGUCACAGUGCUCCAUUCGAGGGAUUCGUGGCAAGGACGUCUUAUGUUCUGAUUCAGUUUUUGGAUGAGAU
This 487-nucleotide unclassified non-coding RNA is filed under the name Hevea brasiliensis (rubber tree). Lineage: Eukaryota; Viridiplantae; Streptophyta; Magnoliopsida; Malpighiales; Euphorbiaceae. The record is from RNAcentral.